AGUUGGGUGACGCGAUGGUAGUGGGUUAUCUGGACUUAUUAACAUUAGUGUCACUAAAGUUGAUAUAUACCCUCCAUUGCUAAAUUUGACUGGCUUUAA
This 99-nucleotide non-coding RNA is filed under the name Propithecus coquereli (Coquerel's sifaka). Lineage: Eukaryota; Metazoa; Chordata; Mammalia; Primates; Indriidae. The record is from RNAcentral.